UCUAUCUAAACCACAAUUCGUUUCAGCCGCUCCACCUUUCUCUACAAACCCUAGAUUCUCCCCCGCUCCUCCACGGCUCAUCCAUGGAACCGGUCGUCGCCAUCACCGUCUUCUCUCCUUCUCCACUCCAACAGUCCUUCAUGAUCUAGGGUUUCACUGAGAAACCAGCCGUUUCAUGAUCUAGGGUUUUUCUGUAGAUCCGACGCUAUCUCAACAGAUUCGAAACCAAAUCGAUUUCUAUGGCUUCUUUCCCGGUGGCUUCAAGAUCCGACACUAUCUCAGUAGAUCCGACACCAGAUCUACUGGUUUGACUGUAGGAUCUUCCGUUUGGUUGUGGGUUCGUCAAAGAUGGUGGUUGUGGGUGGAAGAUCUGGCCAGAUCUAUGGCUCUGUUCUUUAAAUUUCUUGGAGGAUCUUAAGCUCAGGUGCAACGGGAAAUGUGAAUAAGGGUUCCAAAUUUUCCAACUUUAAUAUUUAAUUUAAAGUUUUAGGAUUUGGUCAUUACAUUUGUUUUCUUGGAAAAAAUAAGAUCUCUUAUACUAAUUAGAGUUUUUGUUUUCAUGAGAUAGCAGUUUCAUGGGUGAUUUUAAGUUCAGAAGGAAGAAGGAACUUAGACUGAAGAUGUUCUUGAUGAUGGAAUCGUGAAAAACAUACAAAUCUUAUUGCUUCUUCAGGUUGCGGUUGCCUAUGAAAGUAUGAAAAUCUACCAAGCAAACUGCGGUUAACCCUGUUAAUUAUAGUUUGCUAUUUAAAAUGUGUUUUGGAGAAAAAAAGUGUAAUGUGUUUAUUCAAAAUUGGAGUAAAAAGUUUAAUGUGUUUAUUCGCGGUUAAACCUGGUAAUUAUGGUUUGCUAUUUAAAAUGUGUUUUGGAGUAAAGAAGUGUAAUGUGUAUUCAAAAUUGUUUGUUUCGCUCACAAGUGGGUCGACAUUGCUGGUACUGAGGCUGAUUUUGAAGCUAUAAAUAUCUGGCUAAAUGGGUCGGUUUUGGUAACGGUUCAGAUGGGUAAGCUCGAUAUGUGGCUGAAAGACGGAUUCCAUUUGUUGCUCUUGAUGUGACAAGGUAUAAAGUCAUUUAUAUUUUUUAUGUGCUAAAUGGGUUAAAGAAAUGAGGAUUCGAGCUCUGGAGAUGGUGUCAGAACUGAAAGAGCGGAUAAACAGGGCCUUCUGGUUUUUGCUAUCGGUGUAGGCCUCAGCGCAUUUGACAAAGCAUCCGUCCACUAUUAUCUGCAGUCGCACAUUCAAAUCAAUGAAUUCUACCGAGGAGUUCGUGAUUCGCAGCUGAUCGGAUUAUCCGGUUACACAAAAGAGGGCCUUCUGGUUUCUGCUAUCGGUGUAGGCCUCAGCACAUUUGACAAAGCAUCCGUAAGACUUCGUUAUACUGAAUUGUGAUCGUGUGAUUCUGGUGCAGUCGCACAUUCGAUGUCGCACAUUCGAUGGAAUUCACAACUUCAAGAUAUUGUUUUCUUUAAAUGUUUACACAGAGCCACGUGCAGAGAACCUAAAGAUUGCAGCUUAUAGAACUCUUCUUGGACAUACUGCUUCUGUGCAAAGUGUUGCAGCACAGCCUACUGCGAAUAUGGUGUGUUCUGGUUCUACACAAUAUGAAUUAAAAAUGAAUGAUUUGUCUAUUGUGCUUCAAGUAUUUUCUCUCACUAUUCGUUCUUCAUGUUGUUCAAAAAGAAGCCCUAAAUCGGUCAUAUUUUGAACGAUUUCUUAUCUGAAAUCGCUGUUAGGGGCUACAAUCGAACGAAAAAAGAGGCUGAGAGGUAUCUGUAUUCUCAUAAUCGAAAGAAGGAUGAAGGGAAACAACGAACUGGGUUCUAAUAGGGCUCUCAAGGGGUUUUGAGUGAGAUAUAGUGCCGAAAAAUGAAGAAACUUAAGAACCAUUAGCAGUUUCUCCAGCAUUGGUGCUUGAAGACGAGGUGUGCCAUCCACUACAAUUAAGGUGAACACGAAGAAGCGACUGAUAACGAUUGGCGGGCGUUUGAAGGUAUCCAAAAAUGGUGGUAAGUGAGUACGAGGAUGAGCUUGGUAAGACGAGGCGACGGUGGUGUGUUGAGGAUCUAACCGGUAGGUGUACUCCUCGAAGCUAUAGAGUAAGUUUUAGAUACGCCUUUCAUCAAUAUCACCAAUUGGUAGGUGUACUUUGUGAAUAUUCUUUAAUUUUUUAUUUAAUCUAUUUACCGAUUUGCGACUUAUAAGACUGCAGAUUGGCUUUAGAACUUGCAGACAAGUGUACUCUGAAUGUCUUAGUAUGUGUGGACCUCUGAUGGCGUUGUGUUCAAGUACGGCUCUAAGCCUAUUCAGAACUUUCUAUAGGGAUUGAUGAUGUGUUGUCUUAUAUGAUAUGUUUGAGGAAGAACUGAUCAGCCUGCAUCCCAACAUCAACUUCAAAAUGUGAUUCAACAUCAACAUCAGAUGAUAUUUUGGCUCGCAAUAAAAAGAUGAACUCUAUGUCUUCUAGGUAUCAAAUGAGGUGUAUGCACAAUUCUCAGCUGGCAUUUAGGUAAAGUAAUUUAUAUUUAUAUAAAAUCCAAGCAUUAGUUUGCUUUGUGAACACCCCUAAUAUAUACAUUCAACUAGGGGUGUUCAUGGUCCGGUUUUGACGGUUUCUAGGUCAAAGAGUGAGCCAAACUGUUAGUAACGGUUUUUAUCGUGAACACCUCUUAUAUCAAUUGUUGCGGAGAUAAUGUUAAAAUCCUAUGAACAAGGAUAAAUGGGAGUGGAUUGGAGGGAAUGAUGGAGAAAAAGUUUUGUUGGUGCAGUUAUUUUAUUUUAAGAAGGAACACAGACUAUAGCGGGAAUUAUGUUUUGAAGUGGUCAAAAUGGGUUCCAAGAAAGUGUAAUAUUUUGGUGUGGAGAGCUGCGAUGGGUCGGAUCUAGACAGUGGAUGCUUUAAGAAACGCAACUGCUACAGGGGCGAGGAUACCUGCAUUUUAUGCGAAGACGGGUCACAGACUGCUGACCUUAUUUUUUUGCUCUUGUUAUGCUGCAGCGGCGCUGGCAUGCGUUGGAGUCAGAUCUGCGGAUUCUAGAAAUAGCCAAUUGUAUAGUGUUUUGUUAUUUGUGUGAUGUGUAGUUUGUUUAGUGUUUUCUUUUCUUUUCUUCAUAUGGCUGAUGUGUGGUGGUUAUAGUUAGACGUAAUAGGACCGUACUCUUGAUACGAGUAUUUGUUGGUGUUAUACUUUUAUGUUAGGUGGAACCAUGGGUUCAUGAUUUUUUUGGGUGGUGUAUUCUUGUAAUCCAUACCUUCAAGACCCACUAACUAUUUUGACUAUGAAAAUGUUGUUUUAAAUUA
Long non-coding RNA from Helianthus annuus (common sunflower), 3297 nucleotides. RefSeq lists it as uncharacterized. NCBI's taxonomy places the organism in Eukaryota, Viridiplantae, Streptophyta, Magnoliopsida, Asterales, Asteraceae. The record is from RefSeq and is a predicted model, not a curated record. The transcript has 12 exons.